AAGUACGUAUAAGAGUUAUUUACUUAUUGCACUUGCUUACUAUCCAGCAAUUUAUCAGCCUUCUGACAUAUAGGAUGAAAUUUACUAUUUCGGUAAAUUUAUCAUGCAUCCACAAUAAAAAAUAAAUAUACAGUACACGCAACAUUAGAAGUAAAUUAUUUGUUAUAGAAAUUGAUAUCUCAAAGAAAUGGAGACCAAUAAUGGCCAAGGGUAACUCACACUUUCACAUGAAAAAGUAGAGCCUUGGCCAGCUAAUUGUAUGAAUAUAUUACCAUUCAAUUCCUUUUGGUUUUUUAGAGCAACACAUGUAAACUGCCUUCUCCAAAUUUUUAAAGGAAUGGAGCCAAGAUGGAGAGUGCAUUUUCAGCUAGUCCUUGUCCUGUAAGAGGUGUAUUUCUGGUCAUGUUCUUAUACAGGAAUGGUUUAUCUUAUAAAAACAGACUUACUUUAAUCUCUUUUUUAGCUCUUUUUAAAAUGUCAAGUCUAUUGAUACUCUUUUUGAGCUUGCUUGGCAUGGGGUAUGGUAUGUUAUGGGGCAUGUUAGGCCUUUUUAAAUUUUUGAAAAAAGCUUGCUGAUAUUUUUUCUCUCACAGCAAUUGCAGGCAUUGACCUACUUGGACACCUUGCAAAACUUUAUUGCUCCAGACUUAUAGCAAUGAGAUACCUAAUAGGAAGUGGCACAAAGUGGCAAUAGAUAAGUAAAUAAAUAAUUUAUUAAUAUUCACUUGGGAAAUUUCAGAUGUUCUGGGUUGCUGUCCGCCGAGUGGUACUCCAUUUCUGAGGUAAUCCAAAGUGAGUUUGGGAGCAUCAGAAGACGAACUCGCUUCUCAUUCUACGUUUCCUUUUGUUAGGGGAAAGGAGGCUUAGUUGACAGAUACUUAUCAAUAUCUUUUAGUUAAAUUUGCUGGAGACUCGGCCUCACUGAAAAUUAAAAUGCCUUGAAAACUAUUUUUUAUAUUUGUUGAAAUAUUUAAUCAACAAAUGAAAUGACUUCUUCAUAAUUUGAUGCUUACGAGAUACUUGCUCUUCAAAUGUUCUGGGGAUAGUUCAUCUUUGCAUAUAUAUGCCUGAGGAAGCAAGCCUUCAUUGACACUGCUUCUAAACAUUCUGAUGUCUUCUGUGACGAGGUCACCUAGCUUUCUCCUAUCAUCCUGCUCACCAAAAAUCCUUUCAUACUGAGCUGGACAACUAUGUCAAUUACUUCACCUUUUACAGUUGCUGUUAUGUCCUUGCAAGUGGUUUAGGCUAGGAGUAAAAAGUAAAUGAAUUUUAUAAGUGUUCAGUUAAUCAAGACUGUCCCAACAGUGAAAGGACAUUGUUCACUGAGCCAUAGAUAAUAGAUGGGAAGGAUGGUUUGGAAACAACCACAUGCAGUUGAGUAUCCUUUCUCAUUGGCAAAGAAAUUCUAGUUUCUGAAGGGCAUGGUUAUAGUAUCUGUAGCAUAAAGAAAUAUCAAAGAAAUCAAAAGUUAAAGAGUGCAUAAGCACUGCACUAACAGGUUGAACAAGAACUUCUUGUGAAAAUAGUUUUUAUAUUAUAUUGAUUUACAUUAUUUGACACUUUCAUAAUUAUGUGUGUCUUUGGCUCCCUCAAAAAUUCUCUGUUGGUCCAUCCUCAUUUAGUUUUAUAUAUCAGUGCAUUAUCAGAUUUUGUGUCGCCAUAAUUUUAAA
This 1670-nucleotide long non-coding RNA is filed under the name Amphimedon queenslandica. Its description in RNAcentral is "uncharacterized LOC109583041". The record is from RNAcentral. Lineage: Eukaryota; Metazoa; Porifera; Demospongiae; Haplosclerida; Niphatidae.